CAUUAACCCAAGCAGUACGUUGUUAAGAGACAAGGUGGCUCAGUGUGACCAAGGCAGGAGGUGAGGCUGGCUGGUGUCUGAAGCCUAGUCCUGCUGGGGCCGGUUGAGAGCUCCUGGAGGGCAGGGCCAUGUCUUGCUCAUCAGUGCCAUCAUGUGGAGCAGGCCCUCACUUUGCGCCAGAGCCUUACCCAGGCCCACCACACCGCUUCUCCGUUACCUCUUUCUCCCAAGCCCAGCGCCACCUCAUUCCUCCUCCGAACUGGAUUUCUGUGUCUCAGACCCAGUGCCUUUGACUACUGCGCCCCCGCCAGCACCAGAGCAGACCUGCCAAUGCUGUCCUCCACCCUCCCCUCCCUGGACGCAUGGGAUAACCACACGGUGCCCACACGUGUAGGUAGCAAAAUGGAAAGGGCCUGAGGCUCAGAGUCAGCUGGUUCUGGUGUGACCCCCAGCUCUGCCUUUUGUUAACUGUGUGGCCUUACUCAGGACACGCCAUCCCUAAGCCUCAGUUUACUGACCUGAGAAAGGGAGAGGAAACUAAUGCCUCCCUAUCUCACAGAGUUACUGUGAAGGUCAAAUAAGAUCAUGCAUUAGGGGGCAAGUAAAUAAUGCCCCUCUGGAGUUGAGAACUACUGAGAAAAGAAGACAAAGAUGAAUCGUUUUGUUUUUUUAAAAUCAGAUUUAUUGGAAGAGCUGAGGUGGAGAAUUUGGACUGAAUUUAUGGCCAAGGGUGGGGGCCCUACUUGAUCCCUCAUAGGUCCCCCCUGAAUGAGGAUGUGGAAGAGGAAGGAGUCUGUGAGUGGCACUCUGGGCCUGGGGACCUGCCCCGCUAUCUCCAGCACCACUGACCAGCCCCGAGGCAGGCGUGACUGGCAUCAGUUACUGUGAUGGGACGGGGGCCCCCGAGGAUUUGGUAGCUCAACUAAGCUCAUGCAAUGAGCAAACCACAGAGCUGGGAUCCACAGCCCGCGUUUCACUGCCAGCUUGAGAGAAACCAGGGCCCAGCUAGCAAGAGACUCUCCUGCCCCUGGAGGCAGAGGCUGGGGACAACCAGCUCAACCGAGGGGGAACGCUUCCCCUUCUCAGGCUGAUCU
This 1094-nucleotide long non-coding RNA is filed under the name Vulpes vulpes (red fox). RNAcentral's name for it is "lncRNA (ENSVVUG00000010183.1)". The record is from RNAcentral. Lineage: Eukaryota; Metazoa; Chordata; Mammalia; Carnivora; Canidae.